AUGAACGCUGGCGGCGUGCCUAAUACAUGCAAGUCGCGCGAACGGACGAGAAGCUUGCUUCUCUGAUGUUAGCGGCGGACGGGUGAGUAACCCGUGGAUAACCUACCUAUAAGACUGGGAUAACUUCGGGAAACCGUAGCUAAUACCGGAUAAUAUUUUGAACCGCAUGGUUCAAAAGUGAAAGACGGUCUUGCUGUCACUUAUAGAUGGAUCCGCGCUGCAUUAGCUAGUUGGUAAGGUAACGGCUUACCAAGGCAACGAUGCAUAGCCGACCUGAGAGGGUGAUCGGCCACACUGGAACUGAGACACGGUCCAGACUCCUACGGGAGGCAGCAGUAGGGAAUCUUCCGCAAUGGGCGAAAGCCUGACGGAGCAACGCCGCGUGAGUGAUGAAGGUCUUCGGAUCGUAAAACUCUGUUAUUAGGGAAGAACAUAUGUGUAAGUAACUGUGCACAUCUUGACGGUACCUAAUCAGAAAGCCACGGCUAACUACGUG
This 496-nucleotide ribosomal RNA is filed under the name uncultured bacterium. RNAcentral describes it as "partial 16S ribosomal RNA". It matches the Rfam family "Bacterial small subunit ribosomal RNA", at positions 29 to 507 of the family's 1533-position model. The record is from RNAcentral.